UAGCUUAGUGGCGAACGGGUGAGUAACACGUAGGCAACCUGCCCAAAAGAGGGGGAUAACACUUGGAAACAGGUGCUAAUACCGCAUAACCAUGAACACCGCAUGAUGUUCAUGUAAAAGACGGCUUUUGCUGUCACUUUUGGAUGGGCCUGCGGCGUAUUAACUUGUUGGUGGGGUAACGGCCUACCAAGGUGAUGAUACGUAGCCGAACUGAGAGGUUGAUCGGCCACAUUGGGACUGAGACACGGCCCAAACUCCUACGGGAGGCAGCAGUAGGGAAUCUUCCACAAUGGACGAAAGUCUGAUGGAGCAACGCCGCGUGAAUGAAGAAGGCCUUCAGGUCGUAAAAUUCUGUUGUCAGAGAAGAACGUGCGUGAGAGUAACUGUUCACGUAUUGACGGUAUCUGACCAGAAAGCCACGGCUAACUACGUGCCAGCAGCCGCGGUAAUACGUAGGUGGCGAGCGUUGUCCGGAUUUAUUGGGCGUAAAGGGAACGCAGGCGGUCUUUUAAGUCUGAUGUGAAAGCCUUCGGCUUAACCGAAGUAGUGCAUUGGAAACUGGAAGACUUGAGUGCAGAAGAGGAGAGUGGAACUCCAUGUGUAGCGGUGAAAUGCGUAGAUAUAUGGAAGAACACCAGUGGCGAAAGCGGCUCUCUGGUCUGUAACUGACGCUGAGGUUCGAAAGCGUGGGUAGCAAACAGGAUUAGAUACCCUGGUAGUCCACGCCGUAAACGAUGAGUGCUAAGUGUUGGAGGGUUUCCGCCCUUCAGUGCUGCAGCUAACGCAUUAAGCACUCCGCCUGGGGAGUACGGUCGCAAGACCGAAACUCAAAGGAAUUGACGGGGGCCCGCACAAGCGGUGGAGCAUGUGGUUUAAUUCGAAGCAACGCGAAGAACCUUACCAGGUCUUGACAUCUUCUGACAAUUCCAGAGAUGGAACGUUCCCUUCGGGGACAGAAUGACAGGUGGUGCAUGGUUGUCGUCAGCUCGUGUCGUGAGAUGUUGGGUUAAGUCCCGCAACGAGCGCAACCCUUAUUGUCAGUUGCCAUCAUUAAGUUGGGCACUCUGGCGAGACUGCCGGUGACAAACCGGAGGAAGGUGGGGAUGACGUCAAAUCAUCAUGCCCCUUAUGACCUGGGCUACACACGUGCUACAAUGGACGGUACAACGAGUCGCUAACUCGCGAGGGCAAGCUAAUCUCUUAAAGCCGUUCUCAGUUCGGAUUGCAGGCUGCAACUCGCCUGCAUGAAGUCGGAAUCGCUAGUAAUCGCGAAUCAGCAUGUCGCGGUGAAUACGUUCCCGGGCCUUGUACACACCGCCCGUCACACCAUGAGAGUUUGUGACACCCAAAGUCGGUGGGGUAACCUUUUGGAGCCAGCCGCCUAAGGUGGGACAGAUGAUUGUGGUGAAGUCGAAACAAGGUA
This 1423-nucleotide ribosomal RNA is filed under the name metagenome. RNAcentral describes it as "bacterial SSU rRNA". It matches the Rfam family "Bacterial small subunit ribosomal RNA". The record is from RNAcentral.